This 429-nucleotide ribosomal RNA is filed under the name Bacteroidota bacterium. RNAcentral's name for it is "Bacteroidetes bacterium partial 16S ribosomal RNA". It matches the Rfam family "Bacterial small subunit ribosomal RNA", at positions 355 to 776 of the family's 1533-position model. Lineage: Bacteria; Pseudomonadati; Bacteroidota. The record is from RNAcentral.
UAGGGAAUCUUCGGCAAUGGGGGGAACCCUGACCGAGCAACGCCGCGUGAGUGAAGAAGGUUUUCGGAUCGUAAAGCUCUGUUGUUAAGGAAGAACGAGUGUGAGAAUGGAAAGUUCAUACUGUGACGGUACUUAACCAGAAAGGGACGGCUAACUACGUGCCAGCAGCCGCGGUAAUACGUAGGUCCCGAGCGUUGUCCGGAUGUAUUGGGCGUAAAGCGAGCGCAGGCGGUUAGAUAAGUCUGAAGUUAAAGGCAGUGGCUCAACCAUUGUAGGCUUUGGAAACUGUUUAACUUGAGUGCAGAAGGGGAGAGUGGAAUUCCAGGUGUAGCGGUGAAAUGCGUAGAUAUAUGGAGGAACACCGGUGGCGAAAGCGGCUCUCUGGUCUGUAACUGACGCUGAGGCUCGAAAGCGUGGGGAGCGAACAGG